CGGCGAAAGAAAUCAAGAGAAUCUGAGCAAGCUAUCAACUUUGAGGGUCCAUGAAUACAAAUUCUCAUAUCUACAGAUCUAAUUGGUGCGGCGCUAUUGGAGAAACUGAUGCAAGGGGCGCAAACAACCAAAAUGAAGUCACCUCUCAUCUAUCACUAGAGUUAUGCAUGACAGAACAUCCUUCCAAUUUUUCCUCUCUGCUGAAACUGAGAAAAGAUAGGUUCCUUGAUGGGCAUUGGGCAUCCUCAGCCAAUAUGAAUCUCCCUCUGCUAGGUCCUACUGGUGUUCUCCUCAUGAAUCCCCAAAUGUAGCAUUGGGAUCCAACAUUUCUCCUUCAAGUUCCAUGAUGAAACUCAUCAAAACCCUUCUAUCAAUCAUAAUUUGUCACUAAAAAUAGGCUUAUCUUGUUUGGUCCUCUAGUUGUAACUGAGAACACUUUUGGAAUUUUCCUAACCAUUCUCAUGAGAACAGGUCUUUUGCAACCGGGAACAUUCCUGGUAUCAGUAAUGAAUCCUCAAGAAAAAUACUUUCAUGUUAUAGAGGAAUUGAAGGAUAUAUGGUGGUUAGGAACAGGAAGUUGAUGGUUUUGUUGCAUGACAUCGAUGCGGGUUAACACCUUGAAUAGGUUGAAGUUGAGCAUUUGCAGAUUUAGUUCUCCUGACAUUGUUGGAAAUGGUGUUCAUGGGUUGACAUUGUUGUUGGCACUGACAUGUGACCUAGUUACACGUCUUUGGCCAACGCAGCUUGUUCACUCAUGGUUCAACUUUCUACUGUCAGAAGUUUUCUAUAAGCAUGGUAUUUGGGACUUCUCUUAGUUGGUAAGAGAACAAUGUUUUAUUCGAUUCCUACAUGCAGAUGAUGUUUCAAGUUGGGUAAGCCUUUUGUUAGUUGCGGGUUGCGAUAAAUAAAUGAUCGAGCCAAAGAAUAAUCGACGAUCUCUCAUUGUUGCCAAUUUCACUUCAGCAAGCCUGAGUCUUGAAGGAAAAACACUAUUACGAAUUAGCCAAAACAAUAUAGCACAAAAAGUAGCAAUGUAAUCCAACAAUGAGUCAUUGAAAUGGUUUUUAAUUAUUCUAUAUAUUGAUAUAUUGA
Molecule: non-coding RNA, 1092 nt
Organism: Cajanus cajan (pigeon pea)
Lineage: Eukaryota; Viridiplantae; Streptophyta; Magnoliopsida; Fabales; Fabaceae
Source: RefSeq, a predicted model, not a curated record